CCUACGGGAGGCAGCAGUGGGGAAUAUUGGGCAAUGGGCGCAAGCCUGACCCAGCAAAGCCGCGUGAAGGAAGAAGGCUUUCGGGUUGUAAACUUCUUUUGACAGGGAAGAGCAGAAGACGGUACCUGUCGAAUAAGCCACGGCUAACUACGUGCCAGCAGCCGCGGUAUUACGUAGGGGGCAAGGUUUGUCCGGAUUUACUGGGGGUAAAGGGAGUGUAGGCGGGCUGAAAAGUCAGAGGUAAAAUCCGGGGGCUCAACCCCGAACGGCAUUUGAAACUGUUGGUCUUGAGUAACGGAGAGGCAGGCGGAAUUCGUAGUGUAGCGGUGAAAUGCGUAGAUAUUAGGAGGAACACCAGUGGCGAAGGCGGCCUGCUGGACGACAACUGACGGUGAGGCGCGAAAGCGUGGGGAGCAAACAGGAUUAGAUACCCGAGUAGUC
This 441-nucleotide ribosomal RNA is filed under the name uncultured bacterium. Its description in RNAcentral is "partial 16S ribosomal RNA". It matches the Rfam family "Bacterial small subunit ribosomal RNA", at positions 338 to 795 of the family's 1533-position model. The record is from RNAcentral.